UCGACAUUAGAUACCCGGGUAGUCCAGGGUGUAAACGCUGCAGACUUGGUGUUGGGAACCCUUCGGGGGUGCUCAGUGCCGGAGAGAAGUUGUUAAGUCUGCUACUUGGGAGUACGUCCGCAAGGAUGAAACUUAAAGGAAUUGGCGGGGGAGCACCGCAACGGGAGGAGCGUGCGGUUUAAUUGGAUUCAACGCCGAAAAACUCACCAGCAGCGACUGUUACAUGAAAGUCAGGUUGAUGACCUUACUAGAUUUUCAG
Molecule: ribosomal RNA, 259 nt
Filed under: uncultured archaeon
Lineage: Archaea
Description: partial 16S ribosomal RNA
Rfam family: Archaeal small subunit ribosomal RNA
Source: RNAcentral